UACGUAGGGGCCUAGCGUUGUCCGGAAUUAUUGGGCGUAAAGAGCUCGUAGGCGGUUCGGCAAGUCGGAUGUGAAAUCUCCACGCUUAACGUGGAGGGGCCAUUCGAAACUGCUGUGACUCGAGUCCGGUAGGGGAGUGUGGAAUUCCCGGUGUAGCGGUGAAAUGCGCAGAUAUCGGGAGGAACACCAGUAGCGAAGGCGGCACUCUGGGCCGGAACUGGACGCUGAGGAGCGAAAGCGAUGGGGAGCGAACGAGGA
This 258-nucleotide ribosomal RNA is filed under the name uncultured bacterium. RNAcentral describes it as "partial 16S ribosomal RNA". It matches the Rfam family "Bacterial small subunit ribosomal RNA", at positions 524 to 778 of the family's 1533-position model. The record is from RNAcentral.